Molecule: ribosomal RNA, 253 nt
Filed under: uncultured bacterium
Lineage: Bacteria
Description: partial 16S ribosomal RNA
Rfam family: Bacterial small subunit ribosomal RNA
Source: RNAcentral
UACGGGGGGGGCAAGCGUUGUUCGGAAUUACUGGGCGUAAAGGGUUCGUAGGCGGCUAUCUAAGUCAGACGUGAAAUCCCCAGGCUCAACCUGGGAACUGCGUCUGAUACUGGAUGGCUUGAAUUCGGGAGAGGGAUGCAGAAUUCCAGGUGUAGCGGUGAAAUGCGUAGAUAUCUGGAGGAAUACCGGUGGCGAAGGCGGCAUCCUGGACCGACAUUGACGCUGAUGAGCGAAAGCUAGGGGAGCAAACGGG